This 253-nucleotide ribosomal RNA is filed under the name uncultured bacterium. RNAcentral's name for it is "partial 16S ribosomal RNA". It matches the Rfam family "Bacterial small subunit ribosomal RNA", at positions 524 to 776 of the family's 1533-position model. The record is from RNAcentral.
GACAGAGGUCCCAAGCGUUAGGCGGAAUCACUGGGCUUAAAGCGCGCGCAGGCGGUCCUUUAAGUCUGAUGUGAAAGCCCACGGCUCAACCGUGGAGGGUCAUUGGAAACUGGGGGACUUGAGUGCAGAAGAGGAAAGCGGAAUUCCACGUGUAGCGGUGAAAUGCGUAGAGAUGUGGAGGAACACCAGUGGCGAAGGCGGCUUUCUGGUCUGUAACUGACGCUGAGGCGCGAAAGCCAGGGGAGCGAACGGG